UACGGAGGGUGCAAGCGUUAUCCGGAUUCACUGGGUUUAAAGGGUGCGUAGGCGGCUUGCCAAGUCAGUGGUGAAAGCCCGCGGCUUAACCGUGGAAUUGCCAUUGAAACUGGCUGGCUCGAGUGUGAUUGAAGUGGAUGGAAUACAUCAUGUAGCGGUGAAAUGCUUAGAGAUGAUGUAGAACACCAAUUGCGAAGGCAGUUCACUAAGUCACAACUGACGCUGAGGCACAAAAGCGUGGGGAUCAAACAGG
This 253-nucleotide ribosomal RNA is filed under the name uncultured bacterium. RNAcentral describes it as "partial 16S ribosomal RNA". It matches the Rfam family "Bacterial small subunit ribosomal RNA", at positions 524 to 776 of the family's 1533-position model. The record is from RNAcentral.